GAACGGCAGUCUAGUAUAAGCAUUAUACCGUGAAACUGCGAAUGGCUCAUUAAAUCAGUUAUCGUUUAUUUGAUAGUACCUUACUACAUGGAUAACCGUGGUAAUUCUAGAGCUAAUACAUGCUGAAAACCCCAACUUCGGGAGGGGUGUAUUUAUUAGAUAAAAAACCAACGCCCUUCGGGGCUCCUUGGUGAUUCAUAAUAACUUUACGGAUCGCAUGGCCUUGCGCCGGCGACGGUUCAUUCAAAUUUCUGCCCUAUCAACUUUCGAUGGUAAGGUAUUGGCUUACCAUGGUUUCAACGGGAAUGGGGGAAUAAAAC
RNAcentral lists this ribosomal RNA (320 nucleotides) under uncultured fungus. RNAcentral describes it as "SSU rRNA". It matches the Rfam family "Eukaryotic small subunit ribosomal RNA", at positions 57 to 374 of the family's 1831-position model. The record is from RNAcentral. Lineage: Eukaryota; Fungi.